Long non-coding RNA from Oreochromis aureus, 636 nucleotides. Lineage: Eukaryota; Metazoa; Chordata; Actinopteri; Cichliformes; Cichlidae. The record is from Ensembl.
CACUCACAGAGGCUGAGCAGUUGGCCCUCAGCCAAAACAGUGGGCGCCCUGUGGCUGAAGGCAUCUCUGCAGGGACAUCCUCUGAGUCAAUAACCCCGCAAGACACAAGUGCCUACAUAAGAGUUGAUGGUGAUGGUGUACUGCAUCUGGUGCAGCCUCCUGUUGAGCCAGACCAACAUGCAGUUGAAAAUAAUGAAGAAACAUUGACAGCUGUUACAGAGGAGGAAGCAACAGAGACACUUUAUGAGAGUGAUGAUGGAAAUGCAGAGGAAGAGGGUCCAGCCACUUCUCCAACAAACCUUUCCUCAGUAAGAUGUUCAGCACUGAUUUACAACCAACCUAAGUAGGCAUGUACUAUGAAUGUCAAUGCUAUUUCCUGUGUUUCAAUAGUUCCCUGUAAAGCAGCUGUAUAAGAAAUAUUUGAUCAAGAAAAUAAAAAAAUGCGACUUGGAAAUGGAACACUUCAAGCAGCAGAUCCAAAAGACCAAGAUUGAGAUUUUACUGCUGGAACAUCAGUUAAGGGUGGGUGAAGUGGUCAGAGAUGGACGAAUUAUUUCAGUGUUUGAACAACAUAAUAAUAUACUUAUUAAUACUUUGUGUACAGGAAAUACAGGCGACCAAUAAAGCCAGUUGAAC